This 253-nucleotide ribosomal RNA is filed under the name uncultured bacterium. RNAcentral describes it as "partial 16S ribosomal RNA". It matches the Rfam family "Bacterial small subunit ribosomal RNA", at positions 524 to 776 of the family's 1533-position model. The record is from RNAcentral.
UACGUAGGGUGCAAGCGUUAUUCGGAAUUACUGGGCGUAAAGCGUGCGCAGGCGGUGAUGUAAGUCAGGUGUGAAAUCCCCGGGCUCAACCUGGGAACUGCAUCUGUGACUGCAUCGCUGGAGUGCGGCAGAGGGGGAUGGAAUUCCGCGUGUAGCAGUGAAAUGCGUAGAUAUGCGGAGGAACACCGAUGGCGAAGGCAAUCCCCUGGGCCUGCACUGACGCUCAUGCACGAAAGCGUGGGGAGCAAACAGG